AUUGAACGCUGGCGGCAGGCCUAACACAUGCAAGUCGAGCGCGAAAGCACUUCGGUGUGAGUAGAGCGGCGGACGGGUGAGUAACGCGUAGGAAUCUACCUAGUAGUGGGGGACAACUCGGGGAAACUCGAGCUAAUACCGCAUAAGCCCUACGGGGGAAAGCGGGGGACCUUCGGGCCUCGUGCUAUUAGAUGAGCCUGCGUUGGAUUAGCUAGUUGGUGGGGUAAAGGCCUACCAAGGCGACGAUCCAUAGCUGGUCUGAGAGGAUGAUCACCCACACCGGGACUGAGACACGGCCCGGACUCCUACGGGAGGCAGCAGUGGGGAAUAUUGCGCAAUGGGCGAAAGCCUGACGCAGCCAUGCCGCGUGUGUGAAGAAGGCCUUCGGGUUGUAAAGCACCUUCAAUUGGGAGGAAAGGUUCACGGUUAAUAACCGUGAGCUGUGACGUUACCUUUAGAAGAAGCACCGGCUAACUCCGUGCCAGCAGCCGCGGUAAUACGGAGGGUGCGAGCGUUAAU
RNAcentral lists this ribosomal RNA (519 nucleotides) under uncultured bacterium. Its description in RNAcentral is "bacterial SSU rRNA". It matches the Rfam family "Bacterial small subunit ribosomal RNA", at positions 28 to 545 of the family's 1533-position model. The record is from RNAcentral.